This is a non-coding RNA of Triticum aestivum (bread wheat), 143 nucleotides long. Lineage: Eukaryota; Viridiplantae; Streptophyta; Magnoliopsida; Poales; Poaceae. The record is from Rfam.
UAUAUACUCCCUCCGUCCCAAAAUACUUGUCAUCAAAAUGGAUGAAAACUUGAAAAGAGAUGUAUCUAAAACUAAAAUAUGUCUAGAUACAUCCUCUUCUAUUCAUUUUGAUGACAAGUAUUUCCGGACGGAGGGAGUACUAA